This is a long non-coding RNA of Mustela erminea (ermine), 918 nucleotides long. RefSeq lists it as uncharacterized. The transcript has 4 exons. Lineage: Eukaryota; Metazoa; Chordata; Mammalia; Carnivora; Mustelidae. The record is from RefSeq and is a predicted model, not a curated record.
CUCUCUUACCAGCAGCUAGGAUGGUAAUCAUGAUGACAGGCAUUGUUAGGUAAGACCCCUGGGGCUUACAGAGGAGAACUCAUGGAGGAGGAAGCAGACAACAGUCCAGUCAACAGAAGAGUAUCCCGAGAGUUCGAGAAUGUAGUGAUCAUCCUCACACGAUAAGAGAACUGAGGUACAGAGAGCAGCUCCAGAGGACAUGGCCUUUAUCACUUCUCCCCAUGCUCUGAAAGCCGGACGGUCUCAAACUUGCCCAAGCCAGUGGAGAGAGAAGCAAAGCCCAUUGGCAUCUUAGGACAACAGUCACUAGGCAGAACAUCUUGAAAAAUUUGUUCAAGUUCUUUCAAACCUCUUCCGGAUCCUCGUUAGCAAGCAAGAGCUGAGCUCCCGUCAACAGAGGCUUUUGAAAAACCGACAGACACAAGUGCUGAUCUGUGGGAAGUAUCUGAAGCAUGAUUUUCAUUUCAACAAAUUCAUGGGCAAGAGGAGGUUCUUGCCGCCACUGAAGGAGACCCCGCGACGGGCACCUCCCGGCUUUGGUCAUGUGUUGAUGACCAGCACCGGAGGGGUCCUUAGAGCAAAAUGAAGCUGCCCACCUCCCCAGUUUUUGAAGGACUAAAGCUCUUCAUGACUGAACUACCCCAGUUAUGUCCACCCUCCACCCCCCUCCUCAGAUGAGUUGUCAGCUUCUUGAGAAAUAGUGCUGUUAACCUGAAGUUAACAGGUAAGGGCAUCGCUGAAUAAAUCAAGAAGGCUUUCAGAAUGCAAAUACGUGCUGCCAGAAUUAAGGAGAGGGCUGAAAUGUAUCCUCCAGCUCUGAAGGGAAACCCCAAGCCCAGAUGGGUGAAAUGAGUUGUUCGAGAUUGACUAGACAAGAGAGAUGUUCCUGAGACCAGGACUGGAAAAAUUCAUUUUUGU